This 500-nucleotide ribosomal RNA is filed under the name uncultured bacterium. RNAcentral's name for it is "partial 16S ribosomal RNA". It matches the Rfam family "Bacterial small subunit ribosomal RNA", at positions 31 to 523 of the family's 1533-position model. The record is from RNAcentral.
AUAGAACGCUAGCGGGAUGCCUUACACAUGCAAGUCGAACGGCAGCGCGGACUUCGGUCUGGCGGCGAGUGGCGAACGGGUGAGUAAUGUAUCGGAACGUGCCCAGUAGCGGGGGAUAACUACUCGAAAGAGUAGCUAAUACCGCAUACGCCCUACGGGGGAAAGGGGGGGAUCGCAAGACCUCUCACUAUGGGAGCGGCCGAUAUCGGAUUAGCUAGUUGGUGAGGUAAAGGCUCACCAAGGCGACGAUCCGUAGCUGGUUUGAGAGGACGACCAGCCACACUGGGACUGAGACACGGCCCAGACUCCUACGGGAGGCAGCAGUGGGGAAUUUUGGACAAUGGGGGCAACCCUGAUCCAGCCAUUCCGCGUGUGCGAUGAAGGCCUUCGGGUUGUUAAGCACUUUUGGCAGGAAAGAAAUCGCACGGAUUAAUACUCUGUGUGGAUGACGGUACCUGCAGAAUAAGCACCGGCUAACUACGUGCCAGCAGCCGCCGUAA